GGAGAAAUGACUGAGUUUGGUUUAAGGUGCUGGUUUGCUAAACCAGUGAAUGUUUUGAAUAUUCCUCGGGUUCAAAUCCCGAUUUCUCCG
This 90-nucleotide transfer RNA is filed under the name Jakoba libera. RNAcentral's name for it is "tRNA-Ser". It matches the Rfam family "tRNA". Rfam says of the family: Transfer RNA (tRNA) molecules are approximately 80 nucleotides in length. Their secondary structure includes four short double-helical elements and three loops (D, anti-codon, and T loops). Lineage: Eukaryota; Jakobea; Jakobida; Jakobidae. The record is from RNAcentral.